GGCCAGGUAGCUCAGUUGGUAGAGCAUACGGCUGAAAACCGUAGUGUCGGCGGUUCGAUUCCGCCCCUGGCCACCA
This 76-nucleotide transfer RNA is filed under the name Persephonella sp. RNAcentral's name for it is "tRNA-Phe". It matches the Rfam family "tRNA". From Rfam's summary of the family: Transfer RNA (tRNA) molecules are approximately 80 nucleotides in length. Lineage: Bacteria; Pseudomonadati; Aquificota; Aquificia; Aquificales; Hydrogenothermaceae. The record is from RNAcentral.